UACGGAGGGGGCGAGCGUUAUUCGGAAUCAUUGGGCGUAAAGGGCGCGUAGGCGGCCCGGUAAGUCAAAGGUGAAAUCCCUCGGCUCAACUGAGGAACUGCCUUUGAAACUGUCGGGCUUGAGGCCGGGAGGGGGUGGCGGAAUUCCCAGUGUAGCGGUGAAAUGCGUAGAUAUUGGGAGGAACACCAGUGGCGAAGGCGGCCACCUGGACCGGUAUUGACACUGAAAAGCGAAAGCCAGGGGAGCAAACGGG
RNAcentral lists this ribosomal RNA (253 nucleotides) under uncultured bacterium. RNAcentral's name for it is "partial 16S ribosomal RNA". It matches the Rfam family "Bacterial small subunit ribosomal RNA", at positions 524 to 776 of the family's 1533-position model. The record is from RNAcentral.